This 443-nucleotide ribosomal RNA is filed under the name uncultured bacterium. RNAcentral describes it as "partial 16S ribosomal RNA". It matches the Rfam family "Bacterial small subunit ribosomal RNA", at positions 338 to 795 of the family's 1533-position model. The record is from RNAcentral.
CCUACGGGUGACAGUAGUGGGGAAUAUUGGGCAAUGGGCGCAAGCCUGACCCAGCAACGUCGCGUGAAGGAAGAAGGCUCUCGGGUUGUAAACUUCUUUUCUCAGGGACGAAGAAAGUGACGGUACCUGAGGAAUAAGCCACGGCUAACUACGUGCCAGCAGCCGCGGUAAUCCGUAGGUCGCAAGCGUUAUCCGGAUUUAAUGGGUGGAAAGGGCGUGUAGGCGGGAGCGCAAGUCAGAUGUGAAAACUCAGGGAUCAACCCUGAGCCUGCAGUUGAAACUGUGGUUCUUGAGUGCUGGAGAGGCAUGCGGAAUUCGGGGUGUAGCGGUGAAAUGCGUAGAUAUACGGAGGAACACCAGUUGCGAAGGCGGAUUGCUGGACAGUAACUGACGCUGAGGCGCGAAAGCGUGGGUAUCAAACAGGAUUAGAUACCCUUGUAGUC